GUUUGACUUUAACAUGAAAAAAAUCAAUUAGUGUAUUCACUAUUUUAACAGGCUAAAGGAGAAUUUUUCCUCAUCUCGUCACCACAGCUGUCCUAAGAGAGAAGAAAGAUCUUUGCAGAACAAUUAAUCAACUGUUUCUGGUUCAGAAAAGUUUCCUUUUCAGCUUUCAGUAAUCGGGAAGAUACACAACCUCAGCUUCAAGACCGUCCGAAGAAUGGACAAAGUAUGGCAGAGGUAAGAUACGAAGGCAGAGAGAAGUUAAAUAACUUGCCCAUGUCCAUUGUCUUCCAAGUUCACACAAUUAUGAGAAUAGGAGAGUAAAAGCCCAGAUGAAUACCAUUUCCCACCUCAUACAGUCCCUGUUCAGAGAUGAGCUGGUGACUUGUCGGGACCUAUCCUGCCUCUUUGUCCAUUCUGUAUCCACUGCAUCUGCUGUUCCGGUUGCUCAAGAAGUUUGGCGGCAGCAUCUAGACUUUUGGCAAGAGAGCCAGAGGCUCAGGUAAUUCUGUGAGAACCAAAUGUGACCUACCUCUUAAAGGGAGACAUCUCUCAAGAAUGGACACUGGACUGCCUGCACAUUAUAAGGAGGGUCUUCUUCCAGUCUCUUGCAGUGGUGCUGGAAGGAAUUAAAAUCAUAGAUGGGUGGGGGUGGGUGAGGGCAGGGCAAGUCCAGUUCUUGGUCGAGACAAAGCACUGAUGUUUGGUUUGGCAGCAGCAAACAUCGCCUGGCUCACCUGGGAGGGAAAGUUCACAGCUCUUGGUCUUGGGUCAAGCUUAGUGUAGAAAGUGAGUUUCUGGUCAGGCCUGGGAAGAUAGCCUUCCCAGUGCGUACCCUGAGGGUCUCCAGGGUCAUCUGGUUUUUCCUGAAUGCCCAGGACAUUUCUCCCUGGACCGAAUACCAUCUGGAACUCCCCCUUGGUGUCUCCUGGGGCUCCUACACUGUCUGCACUGUCCUUGAUGCCUGCACUGCAUGCACUGCCCUUCUUUCCUGCUCUGGCCAGAAGAGACAUUCUAGAAGAUUCUUGAGUAAUCUGGAAGCCUGAAUCCUGCCUCUUCACCCUGGGUCUCGGCUUCAAUGUGACGGCUCCCUUGAGUUCUUGCCUACCCGAAUGCUCUUAAGCUGACCAAGCAUGGCGUAAGUAACUAAAGGGCUGGGGAGUCCAAGGUUUAUCAGCUCAGCAGUGCCAUCCAGGACCCAGCUCUGUUCAUCUCUCUGCUCUGCUGUCCUCCGGACAUGGGUGGACACAGCCUUGUCACCUCACGAUUGGAAGUUGUCUGUUGCAGUUUCAAGCAUCAGAGGCGUUUAUGGUGACAUUCACCCAAAAAAGAAGGAACCUUUAUAUCUAUGUCUUUUUUUCUUAGAGAGGAAAAAAUCCUUCCAGGAAGGUGCCCCACGGAUAUCCCUGUAUGUCCCAUUCAGUGGGGUCGUGUGUCGUGCCCAAGCUUGAAUGACUCAGUGUCAAGGGGGUGGAAUUACCAUGAUUGGCUUGGAGUCACCAACGUUUACCUCCUGGAGCUGGGGAUGAGCCAUUCUCUUGGGUACAUGGGAAUGUAAACACCUGAACUAAAGCAGACAAUGGAGAAUGAGGAGGACACCAACCCCCCCCCCACCGACUCGUCCUGUCCCUCAGAUCGAGAGUCGCCUCCUUCAUGGCUUCACCUGACUGACUCCUUUCCCAUUAACACCAGGACUCAUCUCUACUUAUUUUGUUAAUUUCAUUUUUUCUUAAUGUCUUGAAACUCCGUAAGAGUAGGGACCUUGCUCACUGCUGUAUCCAUAGUACUAAGCACAGUGGAGAUAAAUAGUAAAUACGUUUACUGAACAAAUGAAUAAUAAAUAUGUUUGCUGAACAAAUAAUGACAAAAAGGGAAUUACAGUUGACCCUUGAACAACACAGGUUUGAACUGAUGGUGGGCCCACUUAUAUGGGGAGUUUUUUCAAUAAACAUGUAUUACAGGGUACAGGAGCUGCGGUUGGGUUGAAUUUGUGGACGGAGAACCAUGGAUACGGAGAGCCGACUGUAAAGUUAUAUGUGGAUUUUCAACUGCACAGGGGUCAGAACCCCUAAUCCCCUUGCUAUUCAAGGGUCAACUGUAUAUAAUUCACAAGUAUCAUCAAACAUUAAUGUCUUUACUUAGAAGAAAUGAAGCCAUCCCUUAUACAAAGACCUGAGGACAAUUUUUAGCUCACAAAAGAGAACAUUAUGUAAUGAUACCUUGUGAGGGUGUAUUGUUCCCAAAGCCUUGAGUCACUGUGUACAGCUGACCUGAUAUUCACAGACAUGACAACCGUGGAUGAGUCGGGCCCUGGCAGGCAGCAGAUGGCACCCUCUGAGUGAACUAAGAGAGUGUAACGAAGAGCCCAGGUGGAGGCGUAAGUGAAGAAAGAGCAGGCAGGGACAUCAGGAAGUCACCAGGGUCUGGUCACCACGGACAGUGGUCCCUUUGCCGAGGCCCGAGGGGCAAGACGCUGGUCCGGAACUUCGUCAGAGCUUUAGCAGUGGCAAGAGUGCUACUUACUGGUUUGUUGUUUUGUUUGUGUUUUUCACAGUCUUUUUUUUUUUUUUAAAUGCCUACUGCGCCAUGAAUUGGUAGGCAGUGGGUUCCAGCAGCUCAGCCCCUUUCUCGGUGGUUCUCACAAAGCGCGCUUUUCUGGGCAGAGCCGGCUGGCGCUUCAGCCCAGCCCACUUGACUUUCUGUUCAGCCUCCUUUCUCUCUCUGAUCAUUCCCUUCACAUGCUUCAGGGAGCAGUCUCUGCUCUCGGAGUGUAUGUGCUCAGUUCGUAGAUUAAUUCUCUUGGCGAGAACCUUUGUUUCAUUGCUGCAGCAAUGCCAACAGCUUGCCGCCUGACACUGUGGACGCUUCUGGUUUCGCCCUAGGAACACUGGCUCGGGGCUCCUUUGUGAACCGUGCCAUUCCCUUGAUGUCUGCCACAUUGCUCUUCUAGAGGAUUGGCACAUACGUGGCCAGAGGAACAGCGCCAUACUCUCUAAAAGGCCUGGAGAGCGGAGAGCGGGGCCUCUCCUCUGUCCCUUUGUGUUGGUCGUUUUGGUGAAUUACCGGGUAAUGGUGGUUCUGGCCAUCAGGGGAACGAGGCCAUAUCAGGCUUUGGCACUGGCUUCCACUGCUGGCAGCGUGGACACUCAGUGCUAGCAGCAGCCAGGUCAGAUGUGGAGAGUUCCUGCUGUUGAGCUCACACGGAGCCUCCGUUCUUGCUACCUUGGCCACUUUGUAUGUGGGACCAUUGAACAAGCCCCAGGGUAACCGGAAAAAGGAGGUGCCGUGGAUCCACAGGGGUGGGUCAUCUGGGCAGCUGACUAUUGAGGGCAUCCUGAGAAAAGCUCUUCACACUGGUGUCAGCCUCGCAACAAAAUAUUUAAUGUCCUGUCCCUUCCUGGGGUGUGUUUAGGGGUAGCUGAGCAGUUUGCAUAGAUUAGGUCCGUUUUCUAAGUCAUUGGCCCCAUUCAUUCACGAUUUACCUUGAGGAGUUCUCAUUUUAACCUUUUUUUUUUUUUUUUUUUUACUAU
Delphinapterus leucas (beluga whale) is the source of this 3527-nucleotide non-coding RNA. Lineage: Eukaryota; Metazoa; Chordata; Mammalia; Artiodactyla; Monodontidae. The record is from RefSeq and is a predicted model, not a curated record.